Molecule: long non-coding RNA, 217 nt
Organism: Oryzias melastigma (Indian medaka)
Lineage: Eukaryota; Metazoa; Chordata; Actinopteri; Beloniformes; Adrianichthyidae
Exons: 3
Source: RefSeq, a predicted model, not a curated record
AUUUGGCAUGGUGGUGGAAACUCAAACAUUUAAUAAAGAAGCUUGAACAAGACAACAGCAGAGACGAACUGAAAAUCAGACACUUAAAUGAACUGAAGGAAACUAUAAAAACAGGGACCACAAGAGAUAAGGGGAUCUCACCACAGACUUGAUGCUGCCCAGCACUGCUGUGGUCAGUAUCCCUGUGAAGAAGGCCACCAGGUUCAGACCAGCGAGG